This is an RNA transcript of Mus musculus (house mouse), 7772 nucleotides long. It is a transcript of the gene named methyltransferase 21A, HSPA lysine, with no coding region annotated. The transcript has 5 exons. Lineage: Eukaryota; Metazoa; Chordata; Mammalia; Rodentia; Muridae. The record is from RefSeq and is marked validated.
UUUUUUUUUUUUUGAGACAGUCUCACUGUAGGUAAGAUCUGACUGGCCUGAAACUCACUAUGUAGACAGAGAUCUUCCUGCCUCUGCCUCCUGAGUGAUGGGAUUAAAAGCCUUGCCACCACAGCUGGCCUGCUGUGCCAUAAAUAUUUUCUAACUUUCUAACACAUAUUCAGGACAGGGUUGUUUUGGCAAAUGUAUGCCCAGUUAGCAUCACUAAAUCAUGUAUGAGGAACUGACAGAAUGUUUGUGUUCUGUCUACUAAAAACAACCCCAAAACAAAAACAAAACAGAACAAGAAAACCCACCAUUAACCUAUUCAUUAGGACCCUGAGUAGCAUUGAGUAGUAUGUAUCAGACACGCAAGUAACAUUACACACAAGAAAUGGCACUUUAUCCCAUUAUCCUGGUGCCCAUGGGGUCCAGGAGUCCACAUGUAUCCACGACGGGCUUAGGACUAGAAAUACCUAGAAUCUGAGCUCUGCCUCUGGGUUUCUGCAAGCAUCUGCUUUUCUGCUCACACAGCACUCUGACAACAGCCCCUACAAGUGUGACUUUAUAUCGUCUUUGUUCAAGGGAUCAGCCAGAUUCAGUGUGUUAGGAUUGUUUUCCUUCUGCAAAGAACACCACCAAAAACAACUCAAAGGGCUUAAUCUAAUUAAAGAAUUUAAUGGCUCACACAGUGGAAAAUUCUAGGUUGGCUGGAUCCAGGUGGUUAGAGGUCACUAACAGGAGCUGCCUCUCCCUCUGUCAGGACUGAAAAAGUGCCCUUUUUUGUUUAAUGUUGCUAGAGCGUCAGAUACAUACAACCCAGGAUCCCAAUGAAUAGGUGAAUGAAUGUGUGUGAGUGUGUGUGUGUGUGUGUGUGUGUGUGUGUGUGUGUGUGUGUGUAAGUAAAUCAUGUAGACAGAACGUCAACAUUCUCAGUCCUCUAACCAGUUUUCCCUGGCUCAGUUCUCUUGGACCAGAUAACUAACUGGCUGGAUUCAAGGUCCUCUCCUUCACCAACAGCCUGGUUUUCUGAGAAUGUCGAAAAGCCACAGAAUGGGCUCUGGUCAAGCUUUGGCUCAGCCACAUUUUCACUUCUAGUCCAUGUGGACUUCAGAUGGAAGGAUGUGCCCAGAGGCCAGGCCCAGGCCCCACCUUAGAACUGGAUCCUAAGAUAGCACACCCCAAAUAUACAACAGUAACAGCAAUUGUUAUGUGCUGUGUCCUGUCUGGGGGAAGAAUUCUAAGUAGGAACUCAGUUUCUUCCUCAUUUUGUAAUGGUCAUCUCUUUAUCCUUAUUUGAUAGAUGGAAAGCAGAACUAAAUCCUCACAACUAAUAGUCUCCAACUUAUAAUAGUCUGACCUUAAUGACAGUGUGAAAAUGACGUGCAUUUAAUAGAAACCAUACUUUGAGCUUGGAGCUUUUCCCAGGCUGGUGAUAGAUGCAGCAGGAACCUCCCUUGGAAUGCUGAACAGUGCACCAAGCUACAGCUUCCAGUCAGCAGCACAGAGGGCUGUCUGCAGCAGUCUGUGUUGCUAAGCUGCUCGCUGCUCCUUAGGUGCAGUGUAUUCUGCGCAUUCUCAACUCAGUAUUGUUUUACUGGCAAUGAGCUGAGCCGAUUCAGAACUUGGACCCCAGAAGCUGGACUUUUGACCAUCCGUAGGAGAGACCUGCUCCAGGAAAAUAGGAAAUAGACCGUAGGCAGGCAGCAAAAGCAAAUGCCCACAGCAACUCUGACUCCUUCUCUGUAAAGCCUUAGGCUGGACUUCCAGCUUGGUCAGACGUGAGAAGAAGAGUAAGGAAUCAGGUUGUAGCAAGGUGACUGCUGCUUCUGUGACCUCAAACAUGGACAAAUUCCAGAAAACAGGAAGGACAGAAGAAGUGUCCUUCUCUGCGAUUCUUCUUGAAGGUGCUGCGUGAUGGCAGUAGGCAGUUCUUGUUUUGUUGAUGAAGAGGUGUUGCAGGGUAGAGCUGGGGGCAGGGAUGGGUCAGUGGGUAAGCCACUUGCUAUGUAAGUGAGGGCCUGAGUUGGGCCCAUGGUCCCCAGGACUAGUAAGGCCAUGUGUUUAUACCUCAGUGUUCUUACAGUGAUCUAGAAGACAGGAGGCCUCUCAAAGCCUGAAGGCUAGCUGACCUGGCAUGGGCAGCUGUGGACAACAAUGACAUCCUGAUCCAAAUGAGGGCUGCACCCAGGGUUUUCCUUUGACUUCCACUGAGGUGCCAUGGCACACACGCAGCUGUACAUACACAUACCCCGCCCCCCCAAUCUCCCUCUCUCCCCCCACCCACACACACGGGGGCGAGGAGCAAAUGAGCAAGAGAGCUAGAUUUAUUGCAGCAGGGAGGGAACUUCCCACCUAUCUAUAUUUAAUAAUCGUGUCUUUGAACAAGCUGACAGUAGACUGUAACAGAAGGAAAGGCGAUUCCAUUUUAUGCAUGGGUGAACCAGAGGAAAGGAAAAUGAAUACCCCUAAGCCUUCAUGAGAUCUGGAAACUUAGAGAGGAUCCUGGACUACAGAGAGCAACAGGAGCAUGGGCCUCCUUGAGGAAGGUGUUGAGAGCAAGCUGUGAGAGGAAGGAGGGAAAGUCUGAGAAUAUUUUGGUGAGCCCCAAAAGCUCCUGGGUAAGGAAAAUUGCUCAUAGCGACAGAAACCAUCUGAACAUGACAAUGACCUCCUAUGGUUCUGCCUCCUCUAGUUGAGGAGCUUCACAAGAGAGAGCAUAUAUGACAAUCAGUUUCUUUUCUGGAAGCUAUCCAAAGAGAUGAAGCAAACUCAAGAGAAAGCCCCUAGUAACAUCCAUAGAAAAUAGCAUCCCCAGCCUCUGCACUUCAGUGUGGCAUUCCCUGAACUCCUUCACUGUCAGCUAACUACCUCUGGCCUAUUUGUAUGUAGCCUACCCUGAGUAUGCAGGAAGGCAGCCAGCCAUCACUCUGUGAAGGGGCACAGGGAGGCUACAUGUCUGAAGGGAACCAAGCUUGUUCCCUGUUUUGUCAUAUCCCAGGAAAGGACCACAGGAAGGAGCCCAGGGCAUCUUUCUAUAAGGAAAAAGCACAAUCGUUAUAUUUAGAUAUAUUUCCGAAUCACCCCAGACAAUGCAAAAAGUAGACCCUUUUGCAUAUCCUCAGAAAAACUGAAAGGAAGGCCAGGGUUGUUGGCUCACACAUCAACAUCUCAUUCAGCAAGCCGAGGCAGGAGGAUUGUCAUGAGUUUAAGACAAGGCCAAGCGGUAGAGCGAGAACCUGCCUGAAAGAAAACUGAACAACCAAAACCAAGGGAGGCUGCCAGUGAAGUGUCCUCUCUGUUCUUAGAGGUACAACGUGGUUAAGGAGUCGAGUCCUCUUAACUGACAAUGACACCUGGGAGUCAAGAGGACGAGGAAGAUCUUACAAGCCUUGAAGGUCUCCAAAAGAAUUCCUACCUUGCCAAACAGUCACACUAAAACAUGUACCUCAUUAAUUUUGUAUGAAUCUUUUGAGGGCACAUACAUGUUUACGGUAUGUGUGCUUUGUGCAUACAGGGGACUGAAGAGGACACUGGGUCCGUGGCACUUAGGUGGAGUCUUGGAUUUUUGUAAGCCAUCAUGUGGGUGCUGGGUUCUGAUCCUGCAUCCUUUGCAAGAGCAAAAGGCGCUCUCAACCACUAAGUCAUUUCUCCAGCCCCUCUACCUCACUCACAUUGGAAGUCUCCCAAGUUGUUAGCACCCCCCGUUGUGGUACCACCUAAGCAAUGCUGCAGCACGCUCUGUUCUCCACGAUUACAAAGGUUUCUUUCUCACUCCUGUUUCAGUUGUGAAGCUCCAACCGGGGACCUGGUGCUAAAGAGAGCCUGGAUGUUAAGACACAAGCCUUGGCUAGGCAUGGUGACACACAACCUGUAAUCUCAGCACUUGCCAGUCUGGGGCAGGUGCAUCUGAGUUUGAAGCCAACCUGGUACAUAUAUAGUGAGUUCCUGGGCAGACAAGGCUAUGUAGAGAAGAGAGAUCCUGUUUUAAACUAAACCAAACCAAAGCCCUGGGAUAGUGAGAAAGGAGCAACUACCCAGCUGCGAGGGGCUCUUUCACCCACGUUCUGAUGGUAAGAACAAUUUGUAUGGUCAAGUAUGAACUAAGGAUAGGAAAAUCCCUGGGCAUAUUAAAGACAGCCAUAUAGCAGGCUGAGCACUUAAAUAUGUACUCUAUCAAAUGCUCAUUACUCUCUCCCCCAAGGAUUAAACAAGUCUUUCUUCUCAGAUAUUUAGAGGCUCACCAGUGGUUUCUGUUUGUGCUCUCUUUAAUGUCUACACUGCUAUAGAUGUUGAUUUUCCUAAGCGGAUGUGUGCCCUUUCUAAGCAAGUCGGCAAUAAUUACAACUCUGGGAGCUAGGAGGGGCAAAAGGAACACGGUAAGUAAAUGUAAUGUUGCAAAUGCUCUUGUUGGCAGUGUGCUGGAGAGCUUGGGGGAAGUUUUAAAGUCAUAUACAUAUGUAUGCAAUCCUCCCCUGUGUGUGUAUACAUUUUCAGUGGAAAGAUGGAGAAUAGGGAGACAGAAUGGUUAGCUAGAUCCCAGGAAUCUGGGGAGGUCAACCCAUUUACAUUUUUGAAUGUUUUUCUGACCCAAAGUCUACACUUUCCUGUGCCUAGUUUAGGUCCCCAAAAGAAAGAAAUAAAACAGAAAACACACGGAAGAAAGGUAUUUCUUCUUCUAGUAACUACAUAUCAACGUGGUGUGGUCUUUUCACUUGUGCGUAUUCACUGAUGAAAUCGGAUUAGCUCUCUCUAGCGCAAAAACGUGAGCUUUAAUAAGAAAAGGAAAAGGGGAAGCUGAGAAGCCGAGAUAGCACAAAGCCAUGGAGCAAGUAAGGAGAAAACUUACUAAGAGAAAAAACGGAGGAAGAAAAGACCCAAACAGGAAACUCAGUAACUUGAGGAAAGGGCUCUUACUGGUCCCCAGUUUACUGCAGGCCACUUGUCCCCAGUCUCCCGCAGCUGGUGCUGGAAUGUGGAGGUCAGGCGCGCCCCCUGCCGGCCGGGAGAGGCGAGGGCGGUCGCGGCUCGGCAGGGUCCGGCACGCGGAGACCCUUGGGUGGCCAGGUCCGGGGAUGGAGUUUGCAGCCGAGGCUGCCGGCCAGGAUUUAGAAAGGCGUCCAUUUCGGCCAGCAGAGUGGCGGCGUGGAGCGACGCGAGCGCCCGAGCGCAUGUGGUCGGGCUCAAAACCCGGCCUGGGCGUCGCACGCCCACUCCCCAGCCGCGCCGUGGUUAGGGAUGCUCGGUAGUGUUCUCUCCCACUUCACUGCCACCAAACGCGGUGACUACGUUUAGUUCUCUACUUCGCUACGCAUCCUUGGGCGCCAACGUCGCCGACUAACUGUCCACUUUAAGGUCGGCCUUUCUCCCAUGCAAGGCACCCCACGCCCCUGUGCACUCGCCCUCCCUGGCGCCCCAAAACCGUAGGGCCUCACAGGAACUACACAGCACGGGCCAGGGGAAAGCGGCGGUACCGGGGAAGGGGACCGGAAACCCGCGUCUCUCUUCCCGGAACCAGCUUCCACCGCCUUCUGCCAAUCCAGCCUUUUAAGGAGGAGCUCCGCACAGCGACUGGGCAAGGCUGUGCGCUUGCGCGGCUCGGGUACCCUCCCGGAACCGUCUCAGCAGAGAUAGACAGAAGAAAUGGCCCUGGUACCCUAUGAGGAGAGCGCGGCAAUAGGGCUCCAGAAAUUCCAUAAGCCUCUCGCCACCUUCUCUUUUGCGAACCACACCAUCCAGAUCCGUCAGGACUGGAGGCAACUGGGAGUUGCUGCAGUGGUGUGGGAUGCGGCUGUCGUCCUUUCCAUGUAUCUGGAGAUGGGUGCUGUGGAGCUCAGGGGCUGCUCUGCUGUGGAGCUGGGUGCUGGCACAGGGCUGGUGGGCAUAGUGGCUGCCCUGCUGGUGCCGAGUUCUGUGUUGUUUUGUUCAGUCUUGAUUAGAGAGGCAGAGAUGGUGGACAUAAGCAUCUUAGAGCCGGAGAGAUGGCUCAGUGGUUAGGAACCCUGGCCGCUCUUCCAGAGGACCUGGGUUUGAUUCCAUCCCCCACGUGGCUGCUCAGAAAAGCCUGUAACUUCAGUGCCAGCGGAUCCAGCAUUCUCUUCUGGCUGUGUAGAAACUGUGUGCUCAGGUGACUAUCACGGAUCGGAAAGUAGCAUUAGAGUUUCUUAAGUCAAACGUUGAAGCCAACUUACCUCCCCAUAUCCAACCUAAGGCUGUUGUUAAGGAGCUGACUUGGGGACAAAAUUUGGAAAGUUUUUCACCUGGAGAAUUUGAUCUCAUACUUGGAGCUGAUGUCAUAUACUUAGAAGAUACCUUCACAGACCUUCUUCAAACACUGGGACAUCUCUGUAGCAACAAUUCUGUGAUUCUUUUAGCUUGCCGAAUCCGCUAUGAACGGGAUAGUAACUUCUUAACAAUGCUGGAGAGGCAAUUCACUGUGAGUAAGGUUCACUACGAUCCUGAGAAGGACGUACACAUUUACAAAGCACAGAAGAGAAACCAGAGGGAGGACUUGUAGCGGGCAGUAUUUUCUAAGAAUUGAAUGUACCAGGUAAGGUCUUACAGCUAGAACUCUUAGCCAUGUUAAUGACGUGGCUGACUGCAAGUCAGUCCGCUUAGAGCUGCUCAAGGAACAAAGCACAUGUGUACUUUGUAGUCGGUGCCUUGCCUCAUAGCUGUAACUGUCAGCCAGAUUGGCUCACUUCUGCAAGUGGACUUGUGAGGUCUGGCUGGUGUUUCGUUCUUAUCCUGUGUGCUCACUGGGUAAGCAGUCCCCACUGAUGGAGACUGGUGACCUGGAGAGUCAGUCAGACAUUCUGGGAUGGAUUUUGUCUCAGUUUCCUUGUCUGCUGAGUGUAAACAGAUUUAUUACAUAUAUUCCCUGAAAUGUGUGUACUGUUGGAGUCUCUUGUGUUUAGUCUUUUUUGUGUCGGCCGUGGGCUGGUCUGAAACCGCAGGCCAGGCUGACCUCAAGCUUGCAGUGACUGUCUUCCCUCUGCCGCCAACUGCUGGGAUUACAGGUGUGUGCCAUGCCACCUGGCUGACUGUUUAGUUCUUAAGCCCCUUGAGAUGAAGAUGAGUUCUCUGGGUCUCAUGUCAUACCUUUUUACCAGAUUUCAGGAGCAAGUAUAUAAGCAAUGAAAUAAAAAUAAAAUUUUACAUUUGAAAUUACCUAAACUUGUAGGUUAGAAAUUACUUCUAAAACCAUGCUUUUGUUUGUUUCAACUUUGCUGUUUCUCAGUUUUGCUGUAUCUAUUUCUUAGGGUUUUUUUUUUUUUCCUUCUAGUAUGUCAGUUUUUCAGAGUUCAAUCUCAUUUCUUCACAAAGGUCAGCUCCCAUGGUGCAGUCUGUAUUGUACCUAUAAUCACCCACUUGGUCUACAGCUCCUGGUGGGCUGCAAGCUGCGGGGAGGCCUUGUAGCUUUGCUUACCCAGGGUCCAGUAAAAACCAAGUAGUCAAGGAGAAUUUCAGUUAUAGGUAAUUGAUGUUUCGUGGUGUUAAGGAUCAAAACCAGGGUUUUACAGACCCUCGGCAAACAUUAGCCUUGAGUUAUUACGUCCCCAGCCAAAGGUUACUAGUUUUUUGUUUUCUCUGGGUAGACUUUAUGAAUAAUGUUAUCAGUACAAGCUUCUUCUUUUACAUUAAAGCUUGACUAAAAGCUUAAGCAGUUUAGAGCAUAGCUAUUAUAACUGCACAGUGGCAGUGGGUGAUAGAAAUUUGUUGAAUAGACUAUUCAAAGUAAGACCUUUUUUUAAAAAUUAUUAAAUAUUUUGGAUAUAAGAGUA